GACAGCAUUGUGACUAAAGUGUAGCACGCUUAAUAUAGCAUCUUGUUUGUUGAGCUGUUGUAUAAAAUCAAUUCAUUUGCGAUCGCACUGACAUUCAGGAAAGCAACACUCUUUUUUAUGACAUAGACUAAAUAUUAAAAACAAAAACUCUCACAGGGCAUUUUUGCCUCCAUAUAUUGAAUUAUAUUAUAACUGUAUUCUGAUUGCCUUCAUCCGGCACUGAAAAACUUGCAAAGUCCAGUGCAAUUGCAAGGUUACAAAAUAUCAGCUCGCACAUCAUCAAAACAACAGUUAGUACACGAUAAAUAUUGCACCCUAGGUAAAAUACUAUCGAAAUACUAGCAUGGUUCGCUAGAAACACUUUUUAAAUAAUGGUAAGCAUGGGUGACCUAUUAUAUAGUUAGUCAUAACCUCUGACUAAUGAUCAGACUGGAGAGUUUGUGAUCGUGGGGUACACGUAACUUACAUCGGCCGGCGUGAUACACCCUGAGCGACAUAGAUUCCUAAUGAACGAGUAAAUAUAAAGUAGACUAGAAUAAACUAUAAACUAGAAUAAUCAAAUGUCAGAAGAAUAAUUAGGAACAGACAAACGACCAAUUUGCGACCUUUCAACCUAAGUCAGAUUAGUUAAUAAAAUUAAGUCAGAUUUCAAUUUAACCUAAAUUUAAUAACUUUGCGCGCUGAAAAGACCGAACACGCAGGAAACCUUCAUCCACGAUUGGAUACCGUCCUUGGACCAAAUUCGUGGACCUUACACAGCUCCAUCAUCAGUUCUCAAACUGCUCAGCUUUCUUCUGGCAGCUUCUCCGUAUCUGCUAGUGUCCAUCAUACUGGGAGUCAAAUGCUACAGAGCUCAUGUUCAGACUGAUGAUCAAUAUGCUGUCACAGAGAUGUGAAAGUCUACAGCUGUGAUGAAUGAAUCCCAUCAGUAUUCUCUUUUUUCUGUUUAACAAUAUUAUUAUUCUGAAUUAGACAGUAAUCUCUAGGUUCAAAUGAACUCUGCUUGAAUCACAUUAGUUUACUCUUUUAAAUCUUUGCAUUACACACUGUAAAACUUCUAAGCCAAAUUCUAACAGUAACAUACCAUUGAAAACUGUGCAUUGUAUCUCAUUUCCUUCUGUCAAAACAACGUACUGCAUUGAACAUACCUGUCUGAGUGCCAUAAGUAUUAUUUUUCCUUUUUUGCUGUGGGGUUAAAGAUGUAAAAUAAAAGAUAUAUCAAAAAAAGAAUUGUAAAUUAAGUUCAUGACAAGCAAAAAUAUUGGCAA
Onychostoma macrolepis is the source of this 1268-nucleotide long non-coding RNA. RefSeq lists it as uncharacterized. The transcript has 3 exons. Lineage: Eukaryota; Metazoa; Chordata; Actinopteri; Cypriniformes; Cyprinidae. The record is from RefSeq and is a predicted model, not a curated record.